Molecule: ribosomal RNA, 446 nt
Filed under: uncultured bacterium
Lineage: Bacteria
Description: bacterial SSU rRNA
Rfam family: Bacterial small subunit ribosomal RNA
Source: RNAcentral
CCAGACUCCUACGGGAGGCAGCAGUGGGGAAUAUUGCACAAUGGGGGAAACCCUGAUGCAGCGACGCCGCGUGAGCGAUGAAGUAUUUCGGUAUGUAAAGCUCUAUCAGCAGGGAAGAAGAUGACGGUACCUGACUAAGAAGCCCCGGCUAACUACGUGCCAGCAGCCGCGGUAAUACGUAGGGGGCAAGCGUUAUCCGGAUUUACUGGGUGUAAAGGGAGCGUAGACGGCAGUGCAAGUCUGGAGUGAAAGGCGGGGGCUCAACCCCCGGACUGCUCUGGAAACUGUACGGCUGGAGUGCAGGAGAGGUAAGUGGAAUUCCUAGUGUAGCGGUGAAAUGCGUAGAUAUUAGGAGGAACACCAGUGGCGAAGGCGGCCUACUGGGCUUUAACUGACGCUGAAGCACGAAAGCGUGGGUAGCAAACAGGAUUAGAUACCCUAGUAAG